This 206-nucleotide ribosomal RNA is filed under the name uncultured Chlamydiales bacterium. RNAcentral's name for it is "partial 16S ribosomal RNA". It matches the Rfam family "Bacterial small subunit ribosomal RNA", at positions 306 to 505 of the family's 1533-position model. The record is from RNAcentral. Lineage: Bacteria; Pseudomonadati; Chlamydiota; Chlamydiia; Chlamydiales.
GCCAACACUGGGACUGAGAACUGCCCAGACUCCUACGGGAGGCUGCAGUCGAGAAUCAUUCGCAAUGGGCGAAAGCCUGACGAUGCGACGCCGUGUGAGCGAAGAAGGCCUUAGGGUCGUAAAGCUCUUUCGCUUGGGAACAAGAAAAAGUGGCUAAUACCCACUGGAUUUGAGCGUACCAGGUAAAGAAGCACCGGCUAACUCCA